This 108-nucleotide non-coding RNA is filed under the name Bifidobacterium pseudolongum. RNAcentral's name for it is "TPP sequence". It matches the Rfam family "TPP riboswitch aptamer (THI element)". Rfam says of the family: Vitamin B(1) in its active form thiamin pyrophosphate (TPP) is an essential coenzyme that is synthesised by coupling of pyrimidine and thiazole moieties in bacteria. The previously detected thiamin-regulatory element, thi box was extended, resulting in a new, highly conserved RNA secondary structure, the THI element, which is widely distributed in eubacteria and also occurs in some archaea. RNAcentral also lists the same sequence under 1 other name. The record is from RNAcentral. Lineage: Bacteria; Bacillati; Actinomycetota; Actinomycetes; Bifidobacteriales; Bifidobacteriaceae.
CGGUACGUGCAGGGGAACUUCCGCUUGGGGAAGUUGAGAGAGGCAUGCCGCCUGACCCUUUGAACCUGUUUGGGUAACGCCAUCGUAGGGAGCAUUGUUAUGAACCAA